GGUGAUUGUAGCUCAGCCGGUUAGAGCGCUAGAUUGUGGAUCUAGAGGUCGUGGGUUCGAGCCCCAUCUUUCACCC
This 76-nucleotide transfer RNA is filed under the name Bacteroidota bacterium. RNAcentral describes it as "Bacteroidetes bacterium (activated sludge metagenome) tRNA-His". It matches the Rfam family "tRNA". From Rfam's summary of the family: Transfer RNA (tRNA) molecules are approximately 80 nucleotides in length. Their secondary structure includes four short double-helical elements and three loops (D, anti-codon, and T loops). Lineage: Bacteria; Pseudomonadati; Bacteroidota. The record is from RNAcentral. RNAcentral also lists the same sequence under 1 other name.